This 750-nucleotide ribosomal RNA is filed under the name uncultured bacterium. RNAcentral's name for it is "bacterial SSU rRNA". It matches the Rfam family "Bacterial small subunit ribosomal RNA", at positions 65 to 810 of the family's 1533-position model. The record is from RNAcentral.
AAUUAUCAGAGUAGCAAUACAAUGAUAGUUUAGUGGCGAACGGGUGCGUAACACGUGGAUACAUUCCGGGAAGCGGGGGAUAGCCCAGGGAAACUUGGAUUAAUACCGCAUGUGGUCGAAAGACUAAAGGCAGGGACCGCAAGGCCUGCCACUUCCCGAUUGGUCCGCGGCCUAUCAGCUAGUUGGCGGGGUAAAAGCCCACCAAGGCUACGACGGGUAGCUGGUCUUAGAGGACGACCAGCCACACUGGAACUGAGACACGGUCCAGACACCUACGGGUGGCAGCAGUCGAGAAUCUUUCACAAUGGGGGCAACCCUGAUGGAGCGACGCCGCGUGGAGGAUAAGGUCUUCGGAUUGUAAACUCCUGUCAUGCGAGAACAAGGUUGUGGGGUUAAUAGCUCUGCAAAUUGAUGGUACCGCAAGAGGAAGAGACGGCUAACUCUGUGCCAGCAGCCGCGGUAAUACAGAGGUCUCAAGCGUUGUUCGGAAUCACUGGGCGUAAAGGGUGCGUAGGUGGCGUGGUAAGUCAGAUGUGAAAGCCCGGGGCUCAACCUCGGAAUUGCAUCCGAUACUGCCGUGCUAGAGUACUGAAGAGGUGACUAGAAUUCUCGGUGUAGCAGUGAAAUGCGUAGAUAUCGAGAGGAAUACCAACGGCGAAGGCAGGUCACUGGGCAGUUACUGACACUGAGGCACGAAGGCCAGGGGAGCAAACGGGAUUAGAUACCCCGGUAGUCCUGGCAGUAAACGGU